UUAAAUUGAAGAGUUUGAUCAUGGCUCAGAUUGAACGCUGGCGGCAGGCCUAACACAUGCAAGUCGAACGGUAACAGGAAACAGCUUGCUGUUUCGCUGACGAGUGGCGGACGGGUGAGUAAUGUCUGGGAAACUGCCUGAUGGAGGGGGAUAACUACUGGAAACGGUAGCUAAUACCGCAUAACGUCGCAAGACC
RNAcentral lists this ribosomal RNA (196 nucleotides) under Escherichia coli. Its description in RNAcentral is "partial 16S ribosomal RNA". It matches the Rfam family "Bacterial small subunit ribosomal RNA", at positions 1 to 188 of the family's 1533-position model. The record is from RNAcentral. Lineage: Bacteria; Pseudomonadati; Pseudomonadota; Gammaproteobacteria; Enterobacterales; Enterobacteriaceae.